AUACGAAGGGGGCUAGCGUUGCUCGGGAAUGACUGGGCGUAAAGGGCGUGUAGGCGGUUUACACAGUCAGAUGUGAAAUCCCCGGGCUUAACCUGGGAGCUGCAUUUGAUACGUGUAGACUAGAGGUGUGAGAGAGGGUUGUGGAAUUCCCAGUGUAGAGGUGAAAUUCGUAGAUAUUGGGAAGAACACCGGUGGCGAAGGCGGCAACCUGGCUCAUGACUGACGCUGAGGCGCGAAAGCGUGGGGAGC
Molecule: ribosomal RNA, 249 nt
Filed under: uncultured bacterium
Lineage: Bacteria
Description: partial 16S ribosomal RNA
Rfam family: Bacterial small subunit ribosomal RNA
Source: RNAcentral